This 345-nucleotide ribosomal RNA is filed under the name uncultured bacterium. RNAcentral's name for it is "partial 16S ribosomal RNA". It matches the Rfam family "Bacterial small subunit ribosomal RNA", at positions 338 to 698 of the family's 1533-position model. The record is from RNAcentral.
CCUACGGGUGGCAGCAGUAGGGAAUCUUUCACAAUGGGCGAAAGCCUGAUCCAGCAACGCCGCGUGCAGGAUGAAGGCCCUCGGGUUGCAAACUGCUUUUAUAAGCGAGAAAUAUGAUGGUAACUUAUGAAUAAGGAGCGGCUAACUACGUGCCAGCAGCCGCGAUCAUACGUAGGAUCCGACCAUUAUCCGGAGUAACUGGGUGUAAAGAGGUGCGUAGGUGGCGUAAUGAGUAGCGAGUGAAAUCUGGUGGCUCAACUAUUCAGACGAGUAGCUAAACUGGUAAGCUCGAGACCGUUAGAGGUAACUGGAAUGCCUGGUGUAGGAGUGAAAUGCGUAGAUAUU